This 562-nucleotide long non-coding RNA is filed under the name Zonotrichia albicollis (white-throated sparrow). RNAcentral's name for it is "lncRNA (ENSZALG00000014725.1)". The record is from RNAcentral. Lineage: Eukaryota; Metazoa; Chordata; Aves; Passeriformes; Passerellidae.
UAACAAGCUACCAGGCAUGAUUUGAGAACAGAAAAACCACAGAAAAUUAAAGCUCCUUAGAAUGGCUGAAUGUAAUAUUUAGCCUGUUAAAACACACAACACGCAACAGACCAGAUGCUCAUCUAGGGAAGCUUGAGGUCAGACUAUGAAUUGCAUCAAAUUACACUAAUUUACACCUGCUGAGGAUCUAUCUUGAAAUUAAUUUGCCCUCAGAACAUUCUUGUUCAUAUUAAACCUUUUCAUUUUGGUAAAUAGAAUCACUUACUAAAAUGGAUAAAUAAUUCGUUCAAAGUGACACACUGAGAAAUGUCCUUGAAGAGACCUGCACCUAGACCAACACUCAGGUGCUUCCAACCAUUCUUAUUCACUGGGUACUGUGAUGAUGGGAAAGAAGAAUCCUUCACACCAAACUGAAUCUAAGGAUAAGUUGAUCUUCUCUUUGACCAGCCAUAAGGGGCAGAAGAGAGGAACAUCCUGUCAAGAUAAACAGGAGGCUUGGCUGCACAGACAGACCCAGGAGAAAUCCUGCUUUUGGAAAUUGCAUUGUGUACUCAGGCUUUGA